GGCCCGCUAGGCGAAUUGGCAUAGCCGCCAGAUUUAGGUUCUGGUGUUUCCGAGUUCGAUUCUCGGGCGGGCCAC
Molecule: transfer RNA, 75 nt
Filed under: Mycobacterium phage Wamburgrxpress
Lineage: Duplodnaviria; Heunggongvirae; Uroviricota; Caudoviricetes; Vilmaviridae
Also listed under: 3 other names
Description: tRNA-Leu
Rfam family: tRNA
About the family: Transfer RNA (tRNA) molecules are approximately 80 nucleotides in length. Their secondary structure includes four short double-helical elements and three loops (D, anti-codon, and T loops).
Source: RNAcentral